This is a long non-coding RNA of Lutra lutra (Eurasian river otter), 690 nucleotides long. RefSeq lists it as uncharacterized. The transcript is spliced from 4 exons. NCBI's taxonomy places the organism in Eukaryota, Metazoa, Chordata, Mammalia, Carnivora, Mustelidae. The record is from RefSeq and is a predicted model, not a curated record.
AGAUUAGAAAGAGGAGAGAGUUGGAUUUGAGGAGGGUCAAUCUGAGAGAAGAAGAAAGGUGUGCAGAAAAAGAGCACUAAUGAAGAAAGUGACCUCCCCAAACCACUGGAGUCAAAGAAGUCUUCUGUGGGGAAGAGAUCCAAGAAGUUCAGUGAACCUCAAGCAAGAGGAAUAUAAAAAAAAAACAUACCUAAUCACAUCAAAAUCAAAGAGCACUGGAUUCUGCAGCACAGAAUAAAAAUGACGGCUAAGGAGGGAGUUGUGCAAGAAACAAGAUGUUCAUGGUGACGCUUAUGAACAUAAAAUUCAGAAAAGGUACAAAGUCAGAAUUUGGGGGAAUUCCUCCAAUUAGCUGACAAGUGGAAGAAGGGAAGCAAACAAAGAAGAUGGAAGGGAAUUGGGAAGAAAUCAAAACAGUGCUGUGUUAGGACAAGAGGUAAAGUUUGAAGAAAAGAAGUGGUCAUGUGUGAAACACUAUAGAGAAGCUGGGAAAGCUGAGGUGUGACAACACGUCAUUGACCAUUAAGAGAUAGCUGAUGGCUCUGAGUGGACAGUUCAUGCAGUGUGGUCAGGACACAAGACAAAUAACAAGUUUGCAGAGUUGAGAAAAUGGUACGGCUUGCCAUGGUGGAAUAUUAAAUUAACUUUGCAAUGUACAGAUUCUUGACCUUCUUUGUUUUUGCAGUAGCU